This 437-nucleotide ribosomal RNA is filed under the name uncultured Pseudorhodobacter sp. Its description in RNAcentral is "bacterial SSU rRNA". It matches the Rfam family "Bacterial small subunit ribosomal RNA", at positions 8 to 491 of the family's 1533-position model. Lineage: Bacteria; Pseudomonadati; Pseudomonadota; Alphaproteobacteria; Rhodobacterales; Paracoccaceae. The record is from RNAcentral.
AGAGUUUGAUCAUGGCUCAGAAUGAACGCUGGCGGCAGGCCUAACACAUGCAAGUCGAACGGGCACUUCGGUGCUAGUGGCGGACGGGUGAGUAACGCGUGGGAACAUACCCCUCGGUUCGGAAUAGCCUCGGGAAACUGGGAGUAAUACCGGAUACGGACUAUGGCCGAAAGAUUUAUCGCCGAGGGAUUGGCCCGCGUUGGAUUAGGUAGUUGGUGGGGUAAUGGCCUACCAAGCCGACGAUCCAUAGCUGGUUUGAGAGGAUGAUCAGCCACACUGGGACUGAGACACGGCCCAGACUCCUACGGGAGGCAGCAGUGGGGAAUCUUAGACAAUGGGGGGAACCCUGAUCUAGCCAUGCCGCGUGAUCGAUGAAGGCCUUAGGGUUGUAAAGAUCUUUCAGAUGGGAAGAUAAUGACGGUACCAUCAGAAGAGCC